CCAACCUACAGAAUACGGAGCGAGUACUCCAGCAAUGCCACCUAUACCGUUUACAAUAGCCAUAACUGUAGCCGAAUAGUUGGGUGUCAUAUCGUUCGCAGUAAGCUUUAUUCCUGCAUAAAAACCGCCCAUGAGUGCCAUUGAGAUGGAAAAACAUAAAAUUAUCCACACUGUAUCGCAACCAAUAUAUACUGCUAUAACCAUGAAGAGCCCAGAAGGUGUGGCAGCUAAUGUGCGAAAAAUUUGUGCGACAAUAUACAUUUAAUUAAGCGCCAUCUCUCCACAUACAUACCUACGAAUGCCAUCAGUUUUCGCAUAACCGUCACGGAGAAUAUUUCAUAGUUGACUAGCAAAUCCGAGACCACACCGGAUAGCACAGACAGCAACCAAUUCAUAAUAUACGGCAUUUGAUUCUGCAAGCCAUUGAUCACAUUUUCAAUUAACGGUUGCUGUUUGGCGUCUCUUAUAAAUUGUGGAACCUCAGCCGCAUGUUGCAGCUGUGUCCAAUCAUAUUGUAUGGUGGCCGAAAUGAGCGCCCACAUAGAUAUUGCUUUUCCCUCACUUUGAUGAAUGGAUUUUCCUCUGGCGUAUUGUAACACAUGUAUGUCUAAUUUGUGGAAGAAGAUCGACUUAUUUUGCUUUUAAAGUCAUGCUUUUUAGUGUACUUACGAAACCAAUGAACCAAAGUAAUGUGCAUACACCAAAGUAAUAGAAAAUCAACGACCAAUCGUAGCGAUGUAAUAGCAAGCCGGCUAUAAAAUUACCCAUUGAAAUGC
This is a long non-coding RNA of Bactrocera tryoni, 776 nucleotides long. RefSeq lists it as uncharacterized. The transcript has 3 exons. NCBI's taxonomy places the organism in Eukaryota, Metazoa, Arthropoda, Insecta, Diptera, Tephritidae. The record is from RefSeq and is a predicted model, not a curated record.